This 460-nucleotide ribosomal RNA is filed under the name uncultured bacterium. RNAcentral's name for it is "partial 16S ribosomal RNA". It matches the Rfam family "Bacterial small subunit ribosomal RNA", at positions 338 to 795 of the family's 1533-position model. The record is from RNAcentral.
CCUACGGGAUGCAGCAGUGAUGAAUAUUGGUCAAUGGACGCAAUUCUGACCCAGCCAUGCCGCGUGCAGGAAGACGGCUCUAUGAGUUUUAAACUGCUUUUGUACGAGGGUAAACGCAGAUACGCGUAUCUGUCUGAAAGUAUCGUACGACUAAGUAUCGGCUAACUCCGUGCCAGCAGCCGCGGUAAUACGGAGGAUUCAAGCGUUAUCCGGAUUUAUUGGGUUUAAAGGGAGCGUAGGCGGUCGGAUAAGUUAGAGGUGAAAGCCCGAGGCUCAACUUCGGAAUUGCCUCUGAUACUGUUCGGCUAGAGAGUAGUUGCGGUAGGCGGAAUGUAUGGUGUAGCGGUGAAAUGCUUAGAGAUCAUACAGAACACCGAUUGCGAAGGCAGCUUACCAGGCUACUUCUGACGUUGAGGCACGAAAGCGUGGGGAGCAAACAGGAUUAGAUACCCGUGUAGUC